AUGAACGCUGGCGGUAUGCUUAACACAUGCAAGUCGAACGGACUCUUCGGAGUUAGUGGCGGACGGGUGAGUAACGCGUGAGAAUCUGGCUUUGGGUUCGGGACAACCACUGGAAACGGUGGCUAAUACCGGAUGUGCCGAGAGGUAAAAGAGAAAUUGCCUGAAGAUGAGCUCGCGUCUGAUUAGCUAGUUGGUGAGGUAAAGGCUCACCAAGGCAGCGAUCAGUAGCUGGUCUGAGAGGAUGACCAGCCACACUGGGACUGAGACACGGCCCAGACUCCUACGGGAGGCAGCAGUGGGGAAUUUUCCGCAAUGGGCGAAAGCCUGACGGAGCAAUACCGCGUGAGGGAAGAAGGCUCUUGGGUUGUAAACCUCUUUUCUUAGGGAAGAACAAAAUGACGGUACCUAAGGAAUCAGCAUCGGCUAACUCCGUG
RNAcentral lists this ribosomal RNA (434 nucleotides) under uncultured bacterium. Its description in RNAcentral is "partial 16S ribosomal RNA". It matches the Rfam family "Bacterial small subunit ribosomal RNA", at positions 29 to 507 of the family's 1533-position model. The record is from RNAcentral.